UACGUAGGGGGCGAGCGUUAUCCGGAAUUAUUGGGCGUAAAGAGUGCGUAGGUGGUUUCCUAAGCGCGGGGUGAAAGGCUAUGGCUUAACCAUAGUUAGCCUUGCGAACUGGGAGACUUGAGUGCAGGAGGGGAAAGCGGAAUUCCUAGUGUAGCGGUGAAAUGCGUAGAUAUUAGGAGGAACACCAGUGGCGAAGGCGGCUUUCUGGACUGUAACUGACACUGAGGCACGAAAGUGUGGGGAGCAAACA
RNAcentral lists this ribosomal RNA (250 nucleotides) under uncultured prokaryote. Its description in RNAcentral is "partial 16S ribosomal RNA". It matches the Rfam family "Bacterial small subunit ribosomal RNA", at positions 524 to 774 of the family's 1533-position model. The record is from RNAcentral.